RNAcentral lists this long non-coding RNA (683 nucleotides) under Olea europaea (common olive). RNAcentral describes it as "long non-coding RNA (OEUR_LNC002502)". Lineage: Eukaryota; Viridiplantae; Streptophyta; Magnoliopsida; Lamiales; Oleaceae. The record is from RNAcentral.
GAGGCUCUCUCAAGCCUUGUAAGAGAAAGUCCCACUUGGUUGCCCAGUUGCUUUGAGAUUUCUUGUCUAUGUUUUCGGUUACAUCUUAAUCUCUGGGUGUUUUCAAAAUCAGACUACAUUUCAGUCCAGUUUGUUGGUGAAUUUGUCCAGAUUGCUGGUGUAAAGCUUUAAAGUUUUAAGUGUUCCUUGGAGCUUUGAAGUCUCGGCCAGCAGCUUGUGGAGUUCACAGGUUCUAUUGUGUUAUUUCAGCCUCAGUUUUCGGCCAGCAACUUGUGGAGAUCACAGGUUGAAGUUGGUUAUUCAGCUUUGGUGCUGUGUGGGUUUGCUUCUUGUGUCGGCCUGUUUUGUUUCAGAACUUUGGUGAGGAAAUACAUGGAAAUGGACGGUCAUUUUCACAAUGGCCUUUGAACAUUAAAAAAAAAAAAAAUUAAAAAUUGAAAUAGAUAUAUAAAUUACCAUUUGCUAAUUUUGGCCUCAUCUUUAACCAAAGAAAGGAGAGGAAAGAAAAUAGGGGAAAAAAGAAGAAAAUUUCCCACAGUCAGCUGUAAUGGUCGGAUCCUGUCAAGAGUUGUUAUCUCGACAGUCUACCGAACAUCGAAAACCACAAAACUCGGUCAUUAUCUUCAACGAGGUUAGUUUUUUGUGAAAUUAAGACGAUGAUUUUUUGUUUUGCAUAUCCUGUG